RNAcentral lists this small RNA (1024 nucleotides) under Pan troglodytes (chimpanzee). Its description in RNAcentral is "retained intron". The record is from RNAcentral. Lineage: Eukaryota; Metazoa; Chordata; Mammalia; Primates; Hominidae.
AUGGGUUUGGGGGAGGUGCCUGAAUAGGGUUUGAGGGUCUGUUUGAGUUGGGUGAAGAAGGCGGGAAGUUAAUCCUCUUCCAAUCAGCUCGCCGUCUCGCCCUCUGGCGGCUCCGGACCACAGGCCGAGUUACUCUGAUUACCGGCAUGCUCCAAGACCCGCACUGACAGUCCCCACGUGAGGGACCGCGGUGGGAGUCCUAAAUGGGGGAGGAGGGGACGGGCGGCACUGUGCAUCUGCUGUGCCUCGCGGCCUCCAGCGGGGUCCCCCUAUUCUGCAGGAGCAGUCGCGGCGGCGCCCCCGCCCGUCAGCAGCUCCCGUUCUCUGUCAUCGGUUCCCUCAAUGGAGUCCACAUGUUUGGGCAGAAUCUGGAGGUGCAGCUGAGCUCUGCGAGGACCGAGAACACGACUGUGGUGUGGAAAAGCUUCCAUGACAGCAUCACCCUCAUUGUUCUGUCAUCUGAGGUGGGCAUCUCUGAGCUGAGGCUGGAGAGACUACUCCAAAUGGUGUUUGGAGCCAUGGUCCUUCUUGUGGGACUUGAAGAACUGACCAAUAUCCGCAACGUGGAGAGACUGAAGAAGGACUUGAGGGCCAGUUAUUGCCUCAUCGACAGCUUCCUGGGGGACUCGGAGCUCAUUGGGGACCUGACCCAGUGUGUGGACUGCGUGAUUCCUCCAGAGGGGUCCCUCUUGCAGGUACUGGGGAUGCUAUGGAAACUCUUACACCUGUUCUGCUGGCCCUGGCUCAGUCCUCAUCCUCUUUCUUCUGGACCAUUGUCCCAACCUCCUCCUAUCCUCUCAGCUUCCAGUCCUAUCCCCACCUGGUCCCAGAAGAAUCUUUUUUCUUUUUUUUUUCUUUUCUUUCUUUUUUUUUCUUUUCUUUUUUCUUUUCUUUCUCUCUUUUCAUUUGAGACGUAGUUUCACUCUUGUUGCCCAGGCUGGAGUACAAUGGCACCAUCUCGGCUCACUGCAGCCUGCGCCUCCCGGGUUCAAGUAAUUCUCCUGCCUCAGCUUCCCGAGCAGCU